This 253-nucleotide ribosomal RNA is filed under the name uncultured bacterium. Its description in RNAcentral is "partial 16S ribosomal RNA". It matches the Rfam family "Bacterial small subunit ribosomal RNA", at positions 524 to 776 of the family's 1533-position model. The record is from RNAcentral.
UACGAAGGGGGCUAGCGUUGCUCGGAAUCACUGGGCGUAAAGCGCACGUAGGCGGAUUGGUCAGUUAGGGGUGAAAUCCUGGAGCUCAACUCCAGAACUGCCUUUAAUACUGCCAGUCUCGGGUCCGGAAGAAGUAAGUGGAACUCCUAGUGUAGAGGUGGAAUUCGUAGAUAUUAGGAAGAACACCAGUGGCGAAGGCGGCUUACUGGUCCGGUACUGACGCUGAGGUGCGAAAGCGUGGGGAGCAAACAGG